Long non-coding RNA from Micropterus dolomieu (smallmouth bass), 784 nucleotides. RefSeq lists it as uncharacterized. Lineage: Eukaryota; Metazoa; Chordata; Actinopteri; Centrarchiformes; Centrarchidae. The transcript has 3 exons. The record is from RefSeq and is a predicted model, not a curated record.
UCUCUGACCAUUUUAGAAUUGAGAACUCUCUGCUAAACAUUGAGAAAAAAACACAGCAUUCGGAGAAGAUGGCAAGAAUCUGAUUUAAUCUUUCAGUCUACCCUUAAAGAAGUUGACUGUGAUGUCAGAGGCCAACUGAUCUGGAAGGCUAGAACUGAAUCAAAGGAGAGAGCCGUGAAGAGAAAAUAUCCAGGGCAUUGCCAUUAGACUGUCCAAGCAGGUUGCCAACUCCAACAAGAGACUGAGACAGGCAAUAAAAGAGUACAACAGCAUUCAGUGGCCACCACAGAUCAGCAUCUUCCCUGCAACAAUUGAUUUUCAAGAAUCAUGUGAUCCGUCUUGGUCAGUCUACUUCUGUUUUGAUGACACUGUUGAAGAAGAUGAUGUUCCAAGGAGUCUGAAAAGGCAAGUGAUUGAUGCCUUACAUAUGAAGACUCGGGCCGCUGAGGAAAAGCACACGCUUUACCAGGAAAUGAGAACUGUAGCUGACCACCUCCAACAGCAGCAUGCCUUCCUGUGUUCUGCCAUCAUCGUCUCAAACAGCUGGAAAGUAAACUACAUCACGCCACUAUGAUGUUUCACCAACAUGUACCAGACGUUGUUCCUGCAACGCAUGGUUAUGGUACCCCAGACAACCCCUGCCUGUAUCGGGCCCUCCCCAUGUCAAGCAUACAGACACUGGUAUACAGUGAUGAUGAUGGUGAUGAUGAUGAUGAUCAUGAUGACAAUGAUAGCAACUACACUCACCUAAAGGAUUAUUAGGAACACCUGUUCAAUUUCUCAU